Molecule: ribosomal RNA, 496 nt
Filed under: uncultured bacterium
Lineage: Bacteria
Description: partial 16S ribosomal RNA
Rfam family: Bacterial small subunit ribosomal RNA
Source: RNAcentral
GACGAACGCUGGCGGCGUGCCUAAUACAUGCAAGUUGAGCGCUGAAGGUUGGUACUUGUACCGACUGGAUGAGCAGCGAACGGGUGAGUAACGCGUGGGGAAUCUGCCUUUGAGCGGGGGACAACAUUUGGAAACGAAUGCUAAUACCGCAUAAAAACUUUAAACACAAGUUUUAAGUUUGAAAGAUGCAAUUGCAUCACUCAAAGAUGAUCCCGCGUUGUAUUAGCUAGUUGGUGAGGUAAAGGCUCACCAAGGCGAUGAUACAUAGCCGACCUGAGAGGGUGGCCGCCCACUUGGGACCUAGACACCGCCCCAACCCCUACGGGAGGCAGCCGGAGGGGAUCUUCGGGAAUAGCAGAAAGUCUGACCGAGCAACGCCGCGUGAGUGAAGAAGGUUUUCGGAUCGUAAAACUCUGUUGGUAGAGAAGAACGUUGGUGAGAGUGGAAAGCUCAUCAAGUGACGGUAACUACCCAGAAAGGGACGGCUAACUACGUG